UGGGUAGUAGCUGAGUGGUAAAGCACCCGCUUCGCAUGCGGGAAGACCUGGGUUCGAUUCCCGGUUGCUUAC
This 72-nucleotide transfer RNA is filed under the name Toxocara canis (dog roundworm). It matches the Rfam family "tRNA". From Rfam's summary of the family: Transfer RNA (tRNA) molecules are approximately 80 nucleotides in length. Their secondary structure includes four short double-helical elements and three loops (D, anti-codon, and T loops). Further hydrogen bonds mediate the characteristic L-shaped molecular structure. tRNAs have two regions of fundamental functional importance: the anti-codon, which is responsible for specific mRNA codon recognition, and the 3' end, to which the tRNAs corresponding amino acid is attached (by aminoacyl-tRNA synthetases). tRNAs cope with the degeneracy of the genetic code in two manners: having more than one tRNA (with a specific anti-codon) for a particular amino acid; and 'wobble' base-pairing, i.e. permitting non-standard base-pairing at the 3rd anti-codon position. Lineage: Eukaryota; Metazoa; Nematoda; Chromadorea; Rhabditida; Toxocaridae. The record is from Rfam by way of RNAcentral.